RNAcentral lists this ribosomal RNA (376 nucleotides) under uncultured bacterium. RNAcentral describes it as "bacterial SSU rRNA". It matches the Rfam family "Bacterial small subunit ribosomal RNA", at positions 335 to 702 of the family's 1533-position model. The record is from RNAcentral.
ACUCCUACGGGAGGCAGCAGUGGGGAAUAUUGCACAAUGGGCGCAAGCCUGAUGCAGCCAUGCCGCGUGUGUGAAGAAGGCCUUCGGUUGUAAAGCACUUUCAGUCGUGAGGAAGGUAGUGUAGUUAAUAGCUGCAUUAUUUUAGACGUUAGCGACAGAAGAAGCACCGGCUAACUCCGUGCCAGCAGCCGCGGUAAUACGGAGGGGUGCGAGCGUUAAUCGGAAUUACUGGGCGUAAAGCGCAUGCAGGUGGUUUGUUAAGUCAGAUGUGAAAGCCCGGGGCUCAACCUCGGAAUAGCAUUUGAAACUGGCAGACUAGAGUACUGUAGAGGGGGUAGAAUUUCAGGUGUAGCGGUGAAAUGCGUAGAGAUCUGAA